GCUGGCGGCGUGCCUAAUACAUGCAAGUCGAGCGAACGGACGAGAAGCUUGCUUCUCUGAUGUUAGCGGCGGACGGGUGAGUAACACGUGGAUAACCUACCUAUAAGACUGGGAUAACUUCGGGAAACCGGAGCUAAUACCGGAUAAUAUUUUGAACCGCAUGGUUCAAAAGUGAAAGACGGUCUUGCUGUCACUUAUAGAUGGAUCCGCGCUGCAUUAGCUAGUUGGUAAGGUAACGGCUUACCAAGGCAACGAUGCAUAGCCGACCUGAGAGGGUGAUCGGCCACACUGGAACUGAGACACGGUCCAGACUCCUACGGGAGGCAGCAGUAGGGAAUCUUCCGCAAUGGGCGAAAGCCUGACGGAGCAACGCCGCGUGAGUGAUGAAGGUCUUCGGAUCGUAAAACUCUGUUAUUAGGGAAGAACAUAUGUGUAAGUAACUGUGCACAUCUUGACGGUACCUAAUCAGAAAGCCACGGCUAACUACGUGCCAGCAGCCGCGGUAAUACGUAGGUGGCAAGCGUUAUCCGGAAUUAUUGGGCGUAAAGCGCGCGUAGGCGGUUUUUUAAGUCUGAUGUGAAAGCCCACGGCUCAACCGUGGAGGGUCAUUGGAAACUGGAAAACUUGAGUGCAGAAGAGGAAAGUGGAAUUCCAUGUGUAGCGGUGAAAUGCGCAGAGAUAUGGAGGAACACCAGUGGCGAAGGCGACUUUCUGGUCUGUAACUGACGCUGAUGUGCGAAAGCGUGGGGAUCAAACAGGAUUAGAUACCCUGGUAGUCCACGCCGUAAACGAUGAGUGCUAAGUGUUAGGGGGUUUCCGCCCCUUAGUGCUGCAGCUAACGCAUUAAGCACUCCGCCUGGGGAGUACGACCGCAAGGUUGAAACUCAAAGGAAUUGACGGGGACCCGCACAAGCGGUGGAGCAUGUGGUUUAAUUCGAAGCAACGCGAAGAACCUUACCAAAUCUUGACAUCCUUUGACAACUCUAGAGAUAGAGCCUUCCCCUUCGGGGGACAAAGUGACAGGUGGUGCAUGGUUGUCGUCAGCUCGUGUCGUGAGAUGUUGGGUUAAGUCCCGCAACGAGCGCAACCCUUAAGCUUAGUUGCCAUCAUUAAGUUGGGCACUCUAAGUUGACUGCCGGUGACAAACCGGAGGAAGGUGGGGAUGACGUCAAAUCAUCAUGCCCCUUAUGAUUUGGGCUACACACGUGCUACAAUGGACAAUACAAAGGGCAGCGAAACCGCGAGGUCAAGCAAAUCCCAUAAAGUUGUUCUCAGUUCGGAUUGUAGUCUGCAACUCGACUACAUGAAGCUGGAAUCGCUAGUAAUCGUAGAUCAGCAUGCUACGGUGAAUACGUUCCCGGG
This 1362-nucleotide ribosomal RNA is filed under the name Staphylococcus aureus. RNAcentral describes it as "bacterial SSU rRNA". It matches the Rfam family "Bacterial small subunit ribosomal RNA", at positions 35 to 1378 of the family's 1533-position model. Lineage: Bacteria; Bacillati; Bacillota; Bacilli; Caryophanales; Staphylococcaceae. The record is from RNAcentral.